Molecule: long non-coding RNA, 4080 nt
Organism: Prunus dulcis (almond)
Lineage: Eukaryota; Viridiplantae; Streptophyta; Magnoliopsida; Rosales; Rosaceae
Exons: 5
Source: RefSeq, a predicted model, not a curated record
ACGACCCCACAGCUCCUGAGAUAUUUUCUUCUCUCUCCAUGACACGAACCAAAAAAAUCAUUAUUUUUAUGUAUAAAAGUUUGCAACGCUUGGUUUCGUUCCUUCUGGUUUCUUCCGGAUUCGAGUUCUUCCUGAUAAACCAGAUCGUCGUCUUCUCCUUAACUUGAAUUGAGGUUUUUGAUUAUUCACUCUUCGUUCUCGCUAUUGCGAUGUCUCAGAGAGCAGCAAAUGAAAUUUCCAUGGCUUCGUUUCCACGCUCACAGUAGAGUUUCUGGCUGGGAUGAGUAUUUGGCGUUAAUGGAUUUUGUUUGAUCAGUGAGGUUGAUGGGCUGCAUUGGAUUAUAAUUAGUAUGACAGAUUCUAAAGUUUGUUUCAUUGAACAUUUCAUUCCAAAGCUGCUGGUACCUCUGCUGGAUGCAUUUACUAUUGGGGGGCUGGAUGUUAGUGAUAGCUUGAAUGGACUUCUUGCUAGUGUAUUUCCUUAAGUAAUGCUAAUUGUUUGUUCUGUUUCUUAUAAAGAAGAAAAAAGAAAAACCUAUUUUCUUUACCUCUUCUUCAAUGUCAAUAGGUUUUGUGGGCUUUAUCUUUGAUAAUUGGAUGAAGCCUAAAUUAGGAUGAUAACCUUUUGAAUAGGCAGCCUGAUAGGCAAUUUUAUUAUGCAUUUCAACAUUUUGGUACGUCCUAUCAAAUUGCUAAGCUAUGUGGAAGAUUCAUUAUAGAGCAAUGACUGUACCUGUGGCAUUCUUGUAAGUACUGCAAUUGUUGCCUCAAGCUUGCUGCCUCCCUUUGCCAAAACUAGCAAGUACAAAACCAAAAAGUAUUUUUAGACGAGCAUGAAAUGAGUAGCAGAACGUAGUUCAAAAUGUUAGAGAAUACUAUAUCCCAGGAAUUUGAAGCAUGCACUAAAAUUUAAUAUCUUGGCCUUCUUCACUAAUCCCUAAUUGAUUUUGGGUGGGUUGUUCUAACUUCUAACAUUGUAUACAAAAAAUUCAUCCACGUUUUGGGCUCAUUUUGGUUGCGUGUGCUUUAUAAAUUGACAGUUAACUUGAAAUCAGGAAAGACAUGGACUAAAUAACAGUAAACUUGACAGUUAGGCGGAUUGUAACUUUAUUGUUGUGUAUCACAACAAAUACCCUUAAAAUCAGGAAUGAGAUCAACUAGGGAGGAGUAGUUGAUACGAUUCCAAUUCCUUGAUCUAAGUUCCUCGAUUCAUAGCUUCCCCCAUUCCUGGUAAGUAUGCAUGCCAUAAAAGGAGAUUGAUUCCUAAUAGAAAAAUUCCUGAAUUGGAUUUCCUAACUGCCUGGGACUUACACUUGUUGGAUGUGGAUUUGAGCAUAUCUUUUAGUUGCUAUCAACUUGCCCUGUAACUAAUUUAAGUAUAAAUAUUUUUAGCAAUUUUCUGAAUCAGUUUUUAUAAUUGUACCAAGUACCAAGUUUAAGUUUUUCAGUUACCUAUUGUUCUUUGGUUCUCACAGUGGAGGUUUCUUAACAUUAUCGUAACUUCUGGUUGGUCUUGAAUUGUGGUUGUGGACAGAUAUAUGGGAUACUUCAAACCAUGCUUUGGUUUUUGUUUUGUUGUUCUAGUUGGGUCUAAUUAGGGAUCACCUUGUCCCUAUGUUGUAAUUUUCUUUCCUAUUCAAUGAAUACCUUGUUUUCUAUCAAGAAACAAUUGCAAUAUUUCAUCAUCAUAGUUGAAAUGAUGAAUUUGGAGUACUCAAUGAACAAACUUUUAAUUGACACAGCAUGCUGAUGCAUCUGCAGAUAUGUAGACAUGUGAUGCCUUCUCAAGUUCAAGGUCGGCUAUUAUAGAGAGUUAGACGCUCACUAUAUUACGCACUGUAUGGUGGUUUGGAUAUCUAACAGCAGAUCAUGGAUUAUUGAAUUAAAGAAAAGAGCUGUUGGUCACUGGUCACUGUUUAAUUGAUUUAAUGGAAAGUGGAAGUUGAGGAGAACAAGUAUCUGUGGACCGUAGAGAACCUGCAGAAUGGCAUCAAGAAUAACCUUGUAAUUGACCAUGGUUACUGGUUGAGGGAACAUUUGGUUUAUGCCUACAAUGUUACAUUACUUUAGUUUAGAUUCGGUUGUUUAGAAUAGUUUUGCAGGGAAACCUAGGAGGCUAAGCUUUUUUAGAUGCAUGUUAAUGUAAGUGCAUGAGCCUACAGUUAAAACAUAAAUUGUGUGAAGGAAGCUUAAAACUAGGCAAGUAGCUUGUAAGACAUUGCAUUUAGUUGUUCGGCAGCUCACUUGAACAACAAUUAACAGAAUAGCACUUGAAUGUAAGCAGAAAGUAGGAAGAGUGGUGUCUCUUUUAGCUUAAUGAUGGCGGAAAACAGAUAAAGCAUUUGGGGUUCAUCCCUUCACAUAUAGAAAGGAUUGCAAUUGAUUUCUAAUGAGCCAUUUGGAUAAGCUUCAUGACUAGUUGAGGAAUUGUAUCUCGUCAGUUUUCUCAUAAAUUAUAGGAGGCUUCAGGCAUAGGUUUUGUUGAGUUAUUUGGUUGGGUGAGUGCACAUUUGCAGGAUUCAAAUUUUUGUAAAGAUUAUGACGUCAUUGAUAUGCUCUGCCUAACUAGUGACAAAGUGAUAGUUAUUAGGGAUAUCUUGUUUUUGUUUGGCUAUGGAGAAUUAUGUCAUCUACGUCCAUGUGAAUUCUCAUUGAACAGCUCUGUAAUCUGGUCAUAGAUGUUUCUUAUCAGUUCCUAGAGGAAGAACCAAGUAUAAAAUAAGGAUCUUAUUGACCUUUGUUAAUGUACUCUAACUGGUGGCCUAACAUUGCAUCAGAAAAUGUUCUGUCCCAUUGAGUAAGUUGUACAUAUUCUGACUUCUCUCUUUUUUCUUGUGAUACUUGGAUUUGAUGGGCAUCUCAUUCAUCCUACUUGUAUCAUUUCUAAUAUAGAUUUGUUGCGUAUAUUUGAAAAUAAAAAAAGUAAGCAAGAGCAAGUGCAAAGAAGACUUGUAGGGCAUCAAUUAUAGAUCAUAUGCUUAGAGAUAAAAAAAUUUCAUUUCGUUUACCCACUCAUUAUAAAAUUUGAUCUUCCUUAUGUUACAUACACAUGUGCAUGAUCGCAUGCCUGCAAACACACACACAAAUGUGCACAUGCAAAGAUUGGAGUAAUUCUCAAAAUUCUCUAGCUUAUGGCCAUGACCUGAAAUUAAAUUUACAUGCAUGUGUGCACAAUAUGAAUUGUUUUGGACGCCAUUCAGGUGCAUCUCAUAUUUCUAGCUAUGGCCUCUUAUAUUUAACACUUGAAUGUUUUUAAUUUCUUGUUUGAUCUCACAUGUGCAUCUUCUGCGGGCCCUAAUGGUCAGCUGUUUGCUUAUUUAAGCUUACACUAAAUGUGGUGACUACUGUUUGGUUAUAGUUGUUAAGAGCAGGUGACUCUAUCAUUCUACUGAUGGAACAGCAAGAACGCUAACCAAUGGCUCACGCUUAGCUGAAAUUCAAGGAUGUUACCUGCCGCGCAUAGAGCAAUUGAUAACAACAUUUCACUGUUUGAAUAUUCAUGCAUACGGAAAUCGCUUGCCAACUUCAUGUCUGUCACCAUUUGGUUCCAGCAUAAAAAGAUUUUUCGUUCUUCACUUGUUUCUUCAAUUUGGUUGCGCAUCACUAAAGAAAUUCUCUUGGGAUGUGUUGCCUUACAUUUCCAGAAUCCAUAUGUUGGCACAACUGGAAAUUGAAUUAUGCCUUCCACCGUACUGCUGCCCUAGUCUAAAGUUUGCCGUUGGAUCAAUACAUGAACUUCUUUCUUCUUGUUUCAGAAUUCUGACUCCCAGAAACCUUUGGUUAAUUAAAUUUCAGGCUGGUAGUACUGCACUAUCUAUCAUCUUAGGAAUAAAAGGCCCUCCAAUUGGAAUUAAGUUGGAAUAGUCUGGAAUUGCUUGUUAUUCCAGACAAACGAACUAUUAUUCAAUGGAAUUAUGCUGAAGCUUGUGCUUGGAAUUCAUGGUGCCAUCAAAGCUUCAGCACCAACGUACUUUCUCUUAAACUUUUGUUCUUUUCUUCUGCAAAUGCAAACAAAUGGGCAUUAGCUCAAGGUGUUGCUUUAUUGCAAAUGGAAUAUUGUACAGAAGAUCAGUUUACGCG